Homo sapiens (human) is the source of this 4161-nucleotide long non-coding RNA. NCBI's taxonomy places the organism in Eukaryota, Metazoa, Chordata, Mammalia, Primates, Hominidae. The record is from Ensembl.
ACAUUCUUCUAUCCCAGUAGCUUGUGUUCCUUCUCUCACUCAUUUCGAAUCUGAAAACUGGAAAAGAAAGUUCUUUCAUACUGAUUUUCAGAUCUGUGGCUGAUACUGACCAUGUGAAUCUGCAUAUUUCACAGUUCUGGAGCGGGCAGGCACUCUUAUCUGGAAUUUAAGUGUAUAAUGAAGCAGUUCUACUCCAACCAGGACCAAGGUUCGAACAGUACUGUCCAGCAUGCUCUGAGCUUGAGAGUGUGGGAUCUCAAGGUUGGAAGAUGCUGGAGAAAACUCAGCAUUAAGUGUCGAUAAUUACCAUGAUUUUUUAACAAACGUUUAUUUGAAUGAUUUCUUUUUUCAAACAAUACCUGGGCUACUCAGCCAAAAUAAUGAAUAGGGAAUUUCAGUGGGAAAUUAGUAACAGAAAAGGGAAAUAAGACGUAACAGGAAGUGUCUAGAUUUCUUCUAUGGGUUUUAGAAUUCUGUUGGAGAUGAGUAUUUCUAACCCUGGAAAGUUACCAAAAAUGAAAUGAAGAUUGAAUUUCCUAUGAAUAGGAAGAAGUUGAAGAAAACCUGGAGAUUGUGCGCAAUCCUGUCUGAACUAUGCAUCUGGUGACACGUCUGGACAGAAGUGUUUUGAUAGACUAGUUUUCCAUCCUCUCUUCUUGUCAGUUUUCUUCUACGAAUGUCCUCCCCCUCCCUCUGUGGUGUACUCGGUUGUAAACAUAGGCUUUUACUUUUUAAGGCAAAUAUUCCUCAGGAUUAUUGACAGAAGAGGAAAUUCUCUUUAAAAUAGCUUUGUGAUAUGAUUCUUGUCUUUUACUUGCAAAAAAACCUUUUGGGAAACAGAACAGAAUGGAUGGAAAAUACCAUGAUAGGAAAAGAGCUCUCUAGUUUAACCUUAAUUUUAGAUCUAUUCUCUUCCUUGGAAGUGUCAUUUAUGGUUUUUGCUGACUCAUUUCCCUGCCAUUGCUAUUACCCUGGAGGAGGCACCAUGACAAGCCAUGCACAGACUUCAUAGCAUUAGUAACUUCUUGGGUCUUUGAUGUGUUUUGUGUCAACAGAAUCAUUGUAGUACUCACGGUGUGUGUUGUUGGGGUCGGAGGUGACUUUGAAGAAAGUCUUGAAGUUUGGAAGGACAAAAAUGCUCAGGGGGAAAAAAGACUGUUCUGUUAAGGAAAAUAUUACUGUCAAGCCAGAAAUAUUUCUGAAGUCUUCAUUAGGUCUAGUAAUCUCCAAGGAUUAGGAUGACGGGACCCGCGGUUGGAUGACCUCUGUUGGAUGUGCUAAUACAUAGAGGCUGAGUGGGCUGGAUGGGUGGAAAACAGAGAGACGGAGUGCAAAACCAAACUCUGAAAAGAGCAGCUGUCUUUACAAUGCUCAUUCACUUUCUGUUACUUGCCGGCCAAUGUAAUGAGAACCGCUAUCAUAGGUGAAGGUUAAGUACACUAUUUCCCUUAGACUUUAAAGUCCGCUUUAGUAUUUUGCUGAUGAGUAUUAAUGAGCAAGGAUUAAAUUUCAGAUUUUAAAAAAUCUUUUUAUCUAAAAAUAAUAAUAAUUACAGAUGGAGACAGUUUCAGGGUAAUUUCAACUCUUUUACUUCAUACACACACACAGUCAUAGGUUUUAGAAGCAGUAAAAUAUUUUAUUGAGCUAAAGUCAUGGCUAUUUCAUUUCAUUAUGAGUAAGAUACUUUACAAAUAAAAUAAAUCAUUGGCAAAUAAAAUGCUGUAUUUUAAUGAUCUGAAAACAUAACAUCUUUUUAAAUAGGCACUAGGUAUUUUGCAGAUUUCACCAAUUACUUGUCACACUGUGGCUGGAAAUUCUGAACCAUUCCAUUCAUUUAUUAACUCAGCCAGAAAACUGUUUUUAAAUAUUUAUGGGAAUGCUUGUGGUCAGAUUCCUGCAUUGCCUUUACAUAUAACUAAGUGGAAAGAAAGCUUUUCAAUCAGUUUCUGGUACAAGCACCUGUCUUACAUUUUGCAUCAUAACUGUAACUAUGACACUAAUUGGCUUGCUUCUUAACACCUUCUUGAUCAUACUGCCUGAAUUUGGCCAGUCUUGCAACAUGGCAUUUUGCAAUCCCAUGUUAAAAUGAGGCUAUUAUAGACCAGAUGGCAUUAUUGGGUGGUCACACUAGGAAAAAAAAAAUGCCAAAAAACUACAUUGCAAGUUUUCAUUUUAGAUAGGAAAACAGAGUUCAUUUCAGUCUGCAGAACAGACUAAUAAAUAUCAUUUGCACCUGUAAGAAUAGCUGGACUUACUCUAAGGCAGGGCUUCUGAAAAUGGGGUCUGGUACCCCCGGCAAUUGUGCAAGAUGAUCCAUUGGAGAAAAUAUGACUAACUUCUAUUUAUAUCAUUUUUUAAUUGAAGAAUAAAUUUAAGCUUUGCAAAUAUUUAACUUAAGUGGAUUAAUGCUGAUUCCUACUUCAUUCCACAUGGCAUGUGUCACUUAUACUCAAAGUCUGUUAAGGGGAGAUUGUGGUUCCGCGGCAUAAAUGAGUUGGCCAAGUCUCUCUCAAUCAUUCUUUUGCUUUCAUCAUUUACAUAAGGGCGGGGGGCCCAAACUUUUGGUUUCCCUGGGCCACAUUGGAAGAAGAAGAAUUGUCUUGGGCCAGACAUAAAAUAGACUAACACUAAUGAUAGCUGAUGAGCUAAAAAAAAAAUAGCAAAAAAUUCUUCUAAUAUUUUAAGAAAGCUUGACAAAUUUAUGUUGGGCUGCAUUCAAAGCUGUCUUGGGAUGCAUGUAGUCCACAGGCCGUGGGUUGGACAAGCUUGAUUUAAAUGUUUCAAGUCAUUUAUGGAUGAACAUAAGUAGACAUAAGAGAGUUUAAAGACAUAUUAUCUCAUCUGAAAGAAAUUUGACUAAAAUAAUACUAAUAAGUCAAGACAAAGUGAAGAGCAAGAGACCAUUGACAUUUCUCUGAGUCCUAUUAGGAACUAUUGAUGUUUUGACAAUCUAAUCAGAUUUGACAAAAUUUCUGCCUCCACCUUCUCCCCCAUGGAAGGAUCAAGAAGACUAUUAAAAUAUAGAUAGCCCCUUACUCUUUUUCAAAGUGAACCUUGACCUAGAGGAAAAAUGUGCCUUGAGAUGUUAGCUAAGGAUAGAGCAAAGUCAUCACUGUUAGCAAGACAUUUUAAAUAUAUUCUGUGAUUUCUCCUGUGAUGUUUAGUUAUGUAACACCCAAUUAAUGUUUAAUGAAAAACUUCACUGAAUAGCCAAUGAUCUAAAGACUCAUUGAGGAAACAUGUUCAUCUUGCCUUAGUAAAAAUGGCUGAAAGAAUCCUUGGAAAACAACGUGGUUAGCAGGCUAAAAUACAUUCCUUUGAAUGUAUUUCCCAGUAAAAACACAGUCGACAUUGCAAAAGAUCUGAAUAAACAAGUUUUAUAACAAAUUAUGUCAUGUAAAAGGUUUGGAAUAUACAGUAAAUGUAAGCACAGAUGUUUCUAAUACGUCUCGGCUUAUAGUAUUUGCUAAAUUUUGUUUCAGUGAUGGAAUAUGAACGAUUACCUUCCCCCUUUCAUUAUGAGCCACUAAAGGGAAGAAAGACCAAUGAGGUGAUAGUCUCAACAGUAAAUGGCUCGUUUAACAAAUAUAAUAUUUCAUCUAAAAACUAUAAAUGUAACCACAGAAAGAAUUCUAGGCUAAGUUUAUGGAGAUAACAUUGCAAAAUUAAUAAACGAGCUAUUUUAGCAAAAAGUUAAAGCUAAAAGUGCACAAAAUGCUAUAGACUGACAUUGAUAUUCUAAUGUUUUCAUUAAAAAAACCCAAAUUAGUAAAAAGUGAGUUCUUUACAAUAUUUGAAAUGAGGUAGGGAGUGGCCACAAACACCAUUUGUUACCAUACAGAGGUUUGCUGGUUAUCUCAGAGCAAAGAACUCGAACAGCACAUGACUUACUAAUUUUUUUUUUACAAAAAUCAAAUAACUCAAAUUUACUGACAUUUCAGUGAUGAUAAGCAGCUGUCACUAUUAUGCUACUGAGAAUACAUUUUUUUAAACAUUACAUAAUUUGUUUCUCCAAGAUAAAGAUGUCACUUAAACAAUGAGUGAGCAAGUAAGUGCUUUAUAAAAGAAGUUGUGUUAUGUAUAAAUCAUUCUAAAAAUAUUUUGGAAAUGUGUAUAUUGUUAUAUGAAUUUAUUACUGAAAAUGAUGUGUAUUUACUACCU